AGACAGGAAGAGCUGAAGCACUUACUGAAGAGGUCCAGCUGUGAGUCUUUCCUCUUGACCCUUGUUGGAGACAUCACCCAGAGUGGGUGAGUGGGCUGUGUGCACAGGACUUCCUGAGGAAGAGCCAAGUCAAAGAGAGUUUCGAAUCACGUUCAAAGUCUCCACUCUUAUCUUCAAACAGCUCCAUGGUCUUGGCCCAAGAUAGCUAAUAGACAGUUUAAAGCUCCAGGACGAAGCCGUGAUCGACAACUUCCCUCUUCUAGCAUGAUGAAACUCUCAACAAUGAGAGUAAAGCCUAUCUGGGCAGGCGAGACAGCACCUUCUCCAAGGGCAGUUUGAGACUGUGGCAUGUACUCCCUCCAGGACUAUCCCAAACCUCACCACUUUCCAUACAAGUGCAAGGUGCAUUUCUUUGACCAGGCCUUCUCUAAUGUAACCACAUAGCAACAGGUAUAUUGAACAAAUCCCCAUCAAAACAGGACAGAUUCCUCUAGAUUCUAGAUUCCUCUCUCUCUGGGAUGAGGCUGAGAGAACAGACACGUGAUAUGUGCAGUCACAUUGCUUAAUGCACUACAGGAAGGUGCUCGGAUAUUAUGGUGAUGAGUGUGGCAUAAAAAUCUCUAAUCUUCA
This is a long non-coding RNA of Mauremys reevesii (Reeves's turtle), 630 nucleotides long. RefSeq lists it as uncharacterized. The transcript is spliced from 3 exons. Lineage: Eukaryota; Metazoa; Chordata; Testudines; Geoemydidae. The record is from RefSeq and is a predicted model, not a curated record.